UAGGGAAUCUUCCGCAAUGGGCGAAAGCCUGACGGAGCAACGCCGCGUGAGUGAAGAAGGUCUUCGGAUCGUAAAACUCUGUUAUUAGGGAAGAACAAAUGUGUAAGUAACUAUGCACGUCUUGACGGUACCUAAUCAGAAAGCCACGGCUAACUACGUGCCAGCAGCCGCGGUAAUACGUAGGUGGCAAGCGUUAUCCGGAAUUAUUGGGCGUAAAGCGCGCGUAGGCGGUCUUUUAAGUCUGAUGUGAAAGCCCACGGCUCAACCGUGGAGGGUCAUUGGAAACUGGAAAACUUGAGUGCAGAAGAGGAAAGUGGAAUUCCAUGUGUAGCGGUGAAAUGCGCAGAGAUAUGGAGGAACACCAGUGGCGAAGGCGACUUUCUGGUCUGUAACUGACGCUGAUGUGCGAAAGCGUGGGGAUCAAACAGG
This 429-nucleotide ribosomal RNA is filed under the name Actinomycetes bacterium. Its description in RNAcentral is "Actinobacteria bacterium partial 16S ribosomal RNA". It matches the Rfam family "Bacterial small subunit ribosomal RNA", at positions 355 to 776 of the family's 1533-position model. The record is from RNAcentral. Lineage: Bacteria; Bacillati; Actinomycetota; Actinomycetes.